AGAUUGAACGCUGGCGGCAGGCUUAACACAUGCAAGUCGAGCGGGCGGUAGCAAUACGUCAGCGGCAGACGGGUGAGUAACGCGUGGGAACAUACCUUUUGGUUCGGAACAACCCAGGGAAACUUGGGCUAAAUACCGGAUAAGCCCUUACGGGGAAAGAUUUAUCGCCGAAAGAUUGGCCCGCGUCUGAUUAGCUAGUUGGUGAGGUAACGGCUCACCAAGGCGACGAUCAGUAGCUGGUCUGAGAGGAUGAUCAGCCACAUUGGGACUGAGACACGGCCCAAACUCCUACGGGAGGCAGCAGUGGGGAAUAUUGGACAAUGGGCGCAAGCCUGAUCCAGCCAUGCCGCGUGAGUGAUGAAGGCCCUAGGGUUGUAAAGCUCUUUUGUGCGGGAAGAUAAUGACGGUACCGCAAGAAUAAGCCCGGCUAACUUCGUGCCAGCAGCCGC
RNAcentral lists this ribosomal RNA (449 nucleotides) under uncultured bacterium. RNAcentral's name for it is "SSU rRNA". It matches the Rfam family "Bacterial small subunit ribosomal RNA", at positions 26 to 518 of the family's 1533-position model. The record is from RNAcentral.